UAGGGAAUCUUCGGCAAUGGGACGAAGUCCUGACCGAGCAACGCCGCGUGAGUGAAGAAGGUUUUCGGAUCGUAAAGCUCUGUUGUAAGUCAAGAACGAGUGUGAGAGUGGAAAGUUCACACUGUGACGGUAGCUUACCAGAAAGGGACGGCUAACUACGUG
This 162-nucleotide ribosomal RNA is filed under the name uncultured bacterium. RNAcentral describes it as "partial 16S ribosomal RNA". It matches the Rfam family "Bacterial small subunit ribosomal RNA", at positions 355 to 507 of the family's 1533-position model. The record is from RNAcentral.